AGUGAACGCUGGCGGCAGGCCUAACACAUGCAAGUCGAGCGGCAGCGGGUCCCCGCGAGGGGAUGCCGGCGAGCGGCGGACGGGUGAGGAACACAUCGGAAUCUGCCUGGUUGUGGGGGAUAACGUAGGGAAACUUACGCUAAUACCGCAUGCGACCCUGAGUCGACGGACUUGGGGUGAAAGUGAGGGACCUUCGGGCCUCACGCGACCAGAUGAGCCGAUGUCGGAUAGCUAGUUGGCGGGGUAACGGCCCGCCAAGGCGACGAUCCGUAGCUGGUCUGAGAGGAUGAUCAGCCACAC
RNAcentral lists this ribosomal RNA (300 nucleotides) under uncultured bacterium. Its description in RNAcentral is "bacterial SSU rRNA". It matches the Rfam family "Bacterial small subunit ribosomal RNA", at positions 30 to 313 of the family's 1533-position model. The record is from RNAcentral.